CCUACGGGUGGCUGCAGUGGGGAAUUUUGCGCAAUGCUCGUAAGAGUGACGCAGCGACGCCGCGUGAAUGACGAAGGCCUUCGGGUCGUAAAGUUCUUUCGACAGGGAAGCAAAUGCCUAUAAGUAACUGUGUAUGUAUUGACGGUAACUGAAUACGAAGCCCCAGCUAACUCCGUGCCAGCAGCCGCGGUAAUACGGAGGGGGCGAGCGUUGUUCGGGUUGACUGGGCGUAAAGAGCACGUAGGCGGUGUUGUAAGUCAUUAGUCAAAGACUAGAGCUCAACUUUAGGAAGGCUACUGAUACUAUAAUACUAGAGUAGCAGAGAGGAAUGCAGAAUUCCUGGUGUAGCGGUGAAAUGCGUAGAUAUCAGGAGGAAUACCGUUAGCGAAGGCGGCAAUCUGGCUGGAAACUGACGCUGAGGUGCGAAAGCGUGGGUAGCAAACAGGAUUAGAUACCCUUGUAGUC
Molecule: ribosomal RNA, 465 nt
Filed under: uncultured bacterium
Lineage: Bacteria
Description: partial 16S ribosomal RNA
Rfam family: Bacterial small subunit ribosomal RNA
Source: RNAcentral